AUUGAACGCUGGCGGCAUGCCUUACACAUGCAAGUCGAACGGGGGUAGCAAUACCCUAGUGGCGGACGGGUGAGUAAUGUAUCGGAACGUGCCCUUGAGUGGGGGAUAACCAGUCGAAAGAUUGGCUAAUACCGCAUACGAUCUACGGAUGAAAGUGGGGGACCUUAGGGCCUCAUGCCCGUGGAGCGGCCGAUAUCUGAUUAGCUAGUUGGUGGGGUAAAGGCCUACCAAGGCGACGAUCAGUAGCUGGUCUGAGAGGGCGAUCAGCCACACUGGGACUGAGACACGGCCCAGACUCCUACGGGAGGCAGCAGUGGGGAAUUUUGGACAAUGGGGGAAACCCUGAUCCAGCGAUGCCGCGUGAGUGAAGAAGGCCUUCGGGUUGUAAAGCUCUUUUGUCAGGGAAGAAGAUGCUAUGGCUAAUAUCCAUGGUUGAUGACGGUACCUGAAGAAUAAGCACCGGCUAACUACGUGCCAGCCGCCGCCGUAA
Molecule: ribosomal RNA, 490 nt
Filed under: uncultured bacterium
Lineage: Bacteria
Description: partial 16S ribosomal RNA
Rfam family: Bacterial small subunit ribosomal RNA
Source: RNAcentral